RNAcentral lists this ribosomal RNA (200 nucleotides) under uncultured prokaryote. Its description in RNAcentral is "partial 16S ribosomal RNA". It matches the Rfam family "Bacterial small subunit ribosomal RNA", at positions 1185 to 1382 of the family's 1533-position model. The record is from RNAcentral.
UCAAAUCAUCAUGCCCCUUAUGUCUUGGGCUACACACGUGCUACAAUGGACUUUAACAGAGUGAAGCAAAGCCGCAAGGCCAGAGCAAAGCACAAAAACGAGUUCUCAGUUCGGAUUGCAGUCUGCAACUCGACUGCAUGAAGCUGGAAUCGCUAGUAAUCGCGAAUCAGCAUGUCGCGGUGAAUACGUUCCCGGGUCUU